Molecule: ribosomal RNA, 253 nt
Filed under: uncultured bacterium
Lineage: Bacteria
Description: partial 16S ribosomal RNA
Rfam family: Bacterial small subunit ribosomal RNA
Source: RNAcentral
ACGGAGGGAGCAAGCGUUGUUCGGAAUUACUGGGCGUAAAGGGCGCGUAGGCGGUCAAGUAAGUCGGAUGUGAAAUGCCGGGGCUCAACCCCGUGCACUGCAUCCGAUACUGUUUGACUAGAGAAAGGUAGAGGCGAGCGGAAUUCCCGGUGUAGCGGUGGAAUGCGUAGAUAUCGGGAAGAACAUCAGCGGCGAAGGCGGCUCGCUGGGCCUUUUCUGACGCUGAAGCGCGAAAGCGUGGGGAGCAAACAGG